RNAcentral lists this ribosomal RNA (444 nucleotides) under uncultured bacterium. Its description in RNAcentral is "bacterial SSU rRNA". It matches the Rfam family "Bacterial small subunit ribosomal RNA", at positions 331 to 792 of the family's 1533-position model. The record is from RNAcentral.
CCAGACUCCUACGGGAGGCAGCAGUGGGGAAUAUUGGACAAUGGGGGAAACCCUGAUCCAGCGACGCCGCGUGAGUGAAGAAGUAUUUCGGUACGUAAAGCUCUAUCAGCAGGAAAGAAAAUGACGGUACCUGACUAAGAAGCCCCGGCUAACUACGUGCCAGCAGCCGCGGUAAUACGUAGGGGGCAAGCGUUAUCCGGAUUUACUGGGUGUAAAGGGAGCGUAGACGGCAGCGCAAGUCUGGAGUGAAAUGCCGGGGCCCAACCCCGGAACUGCUCUGGAAACUGUGAAGCUGGAGUGCAGGAGAGGUAAGCGGAAUUCCUGGUGUAGCGGUGAAAUGCGUAGAUAUCAGGAGGAACACCGGCGGCGAAGGCGGCUUACUGGACUGUAACUGACGUUGAGGCUCGAAGGCGUGGGGAGCAAACAGGAUUAGAUACCCGAGUA